CAGUAGCCGCGGGAAUACGUAGGGUGCGAGCGUUAAUCGGAAUUACUGGGCGUAAAGCGUGCGCAGGCGGUUCGUUAAGACAGAUGUGAAAUCCCCGGGCUUAACCUGGGAACUGCAUUUGUGACUGACGGGCUAGAGUAUGGCAGAGGGGGGUAGAAUUCCACGUGUAGCAGUGAAAUGCGUAGAGAUGUGGAGGAAUACCGAUGGCGAAGGCAGCCCCCUGGGCCAAUACUGACGCUCAUGCACGAAAGCGUGGGGAGCAAACAGGAUUAGAUACCCCCGUAGUCCCUGUCUCUUAUAC
Molecule: ribosomal RNA, 301 nt
Filed under: uncultured bacterium
Lineage: Bacteria
Description: partial 16S ribosomal RNA
Rfam family: Bacterial small subunit ribosomal RNA
Source: RNAcentral